Long non-coding RNA from Neofelis nebulosa (Clouded leopard), 2250 nucleotides. RefSeq lists it as uncharacterized. The transcript has 3 exons. The record is from RefSeq and is a predicted model, not a curated record. Lineage: Eukaryota; Metazoa; Chordata; Mammalia; Carnivora; Felidae.
UGUCUUUCCAAAGGCCUGAGAAUUUAUCUUAAAAACUAAAUCUGAAUUAAAAAAUUGUUAUAAUUGCUCAUGGUCGUGUUACUUGUAAUGAGAGGUAGAAAGUAAAAACUGCACUCAGAGACAGAGUUGUUAGGAAGAAGUGAAGAUAUUUCUCUUUCUUUUAAUGAUAAAGUGAUCUUUGAUGAAUUCUCAAAAUGAUUGAAGUUUCAUUUUUUCUUUAUCUUCAAUCUCUCUCAUUGAACUGCCCACAUGAUCUUUCUGAGGUAUAAACCUGAUAAUGACAUUCCCAGGCUUAAAAAGUCCUAGUCUCCUUAUCAUCCAUAAAGCAAAAUUCAAAUUCUUAUCAUGGAAUAUAUAAGGUCCCCCUCUACCUCUCUAGACUCAUUUCCUGCCAUAGAUCCCUGUACUCCAAAACCAAAUCAUAAUUCCAAACCCAUUGUCCUUUCAGGACUCUGCAUUUACAUAAGUUGUACUCAUGCAAGACACCCACCUCUCCCAAAGUUUAACCUUCUACUUCCUCGGUCACUCCCUCUGUUCAGAAUGCUCUUUCCCCUCUUGCUCAUGGGUCCUCCUACAUAUACCUCAUGACUUAGUUUAAGUAUCUAGUCUUCUGUGGGGCUUUCCCUGACCCCUCUACUGUCCCUUCCCCAAACACAGCACUGACCCACAGAAGAGACGCCACUCAUAUUAUCAUGAUGUUUUAUGAUUUCACUUAUAGCUCAGGCCACAAAACUUGGAGUCACAUUGAAUCCUCUUUCCUUACAUUCCAAGUCAGAUCCUUCAGCAAAUUCUGUGAGUUCCAUUUUCAAAAUAUAUCUAGCACCUGACUCCUUAUCAUCUCCACUGCUACCACACUGGCCUUAGCCACAUCACCUCUCAUCUGGUUUACUGUGAUAGCCUUCUCACUAGUCUGCCAGAUUCUGCUUUGAAGCCUGUUCAGUCCAAUAACACCCCAGCACUAGUGAUUCAGUUAAAACAAAAGAUUAUUCCUCAUUCCUCUGCUCAAAACCCUCCAAUGGCUCCCACCUAUGCCAAGCAAACCUAAAGUCCUUCAGAUAGCCUACAAGGCCCUCCCUAGCCUGCUCCCCAUCACCUCUUUCUUUCCCACUACUUUCCUCUUCUUGUUCCCUCUGUUCCAGCCUCAUAUUCUUUGCACCUGCUGUUCCUUCUGUCUGGAAUGCUAUUCUCCCAAAUAUCCACACAACUCCUUCCCUCAUUCCCUAUAGGUCUUUACUAAAUAUUACCUUCUGCCUCAGCACAAGAUUGUGAUGUCUAAAUACUAUUUUCCACUACAAUGAACCAAAUUCUUUGGGAAAAUGGCUGAUUCCAAGCCUAAGGUGGGAAGUCUAUGAGAUUGGAAUAUUUUGUCAUAUCAGAAAGCAAAGGUGCUAUCUAAAACUACUAGGGUUGUGUCAAAGGGACUCAGGAACCAACUUCAAGUGGCUCCUACUAGCCAAAAUAGUAAAACUUUGAACAGCAAUAAGAAUGGAAACACAUCAGAUAUGUUGAUACCUAUGUGUUCAUAAUGAUAAUCUAAAGGAAUCAUUGUUCAUCUUUGGAACCAAUUCAUUAUUCAGAAAACAAAUAAGAGGAGGAAAUACCAACAGUCAAUAUGCUUUGCUGCACAAACUGUACCACACAGCAACCAAAUAACUGAUGAGGGAAAGUUUCUCCUUAAAGUAUUCCAGAUAAUGAAAGAAUCAAAUUGAUAGCAUUAGAGUAUCAUCAUUAUAUAAACAUCUAAGUGAUGAAGCUAGGUAAUAAUCAUCAGUGACUGCUGACAUCACAAAAGGAGGUACAAACAUUCACUGAAGGCCUCUUGAUGGAAGAACACACAGCACCUUCUGAAGUAGUCUUGCCAAAAAAUUGAAGCCUCUCAAUUUAAAUACCAGUUUACAGGAAAUAUAGGGCACAGAAAACCAUAUACAUAAUGAAAUAUGUUCAAAGGAAAUCUUAAAUUCACUUCAAAAAGAGGAAGAACAGAAGUAAACCCAGGGUACCUGAGGAGAAUGAGAGCAGAAGUCCCUUCCAUCCUAUAGCACAAAGGAUCUCUCUACCUCUCUUCCCCAAAUUUAAAGCAAUUCUAUAUAUUCAACAGCAACUGUGGGACUGGGGCCAUGUUGAGAGAGGGGAAUGGGUGGUGAAGUAUGACUUGAAGAGAAAGGGGUGCUGACUUUGGAAAGAAGUGAAGUUUGCAAUACUAAAAGCAAAAGGAACCAUACAAAAUACAUUACUCUACUUGAUAAAGUU